UAUAAAUAGCGAACCUGCACAGCUUCUCUUAGAAACUGGUAAGCCAAGUGGGAGUAGGUUCUAGAAGAGAUGAAAGUGUUUGAUCUGAUUCUGCUCAAACUCAAAGUUGUCUGGGUUGAGGUAAAGUGUUGCUUCGUCUAAGUAAUUAAUGUUGCCUUCAUUCAUUCAAUUUGAGUUACGAUACGUGCAUUACACUCAGAGGAAGCAACACUUGUACCUCAACUAAUUAACUUAACUCUUGAUGAGGAAAUCAAAUCACCCAUUUGAUUUUGCAUUUGCUGUCAUCUCUCUUCUAUAAACUCUCACUCGCAGGUGCAGGUGAAGGUUCAUUACUGGCAGAGGGUGAAACACUUAUAUCAAGUGUUAGAUAUGUUUGAAGGGUGGUGUUCUUUUCUGCAAUAGCCAAUUGAAAUUCAGUUAUGUUAUAUUAUUGCAGGCAUCCAAGUUUUUGGGCCAACAAGAUGAAGGGAAGGUUAAAAUCUGAUGGAAUAAGAUAGGUGACGCAAUGAUGAUGGUUUUUAUCAACAAGCAAAUGCUAGUUGUUAAUUGUUAGUUCUCUCUUAUUCUUUUACCACCAAACCAACCUAGUAACUUUGUGUCACUAGAAUGUGAUUAAGCAGAUUGGCAGUUUGAAGGAAGGUACAGUUAUGCUAUGCAGUGCAUGUAAUCAGUAAAAGCAAAUGGAGAUAUAGUGUUUGAUUAAGAUGAUAAUGUCAAAUUGCUGUGUGGUGGAUCUUAUAAUACUAGCAUGGAUGAGAUGUUUAGUUUAAAUGGGUUUGGUUAGGGAAUGCUUGUCUAACGUGUCCAGUUAUUGAUGCUCAGAAUGAUGGUUGAUAAACCUGUAAAAUUGGUAGUGUUUUUGCAGGAAAUAUUAGUGAUUGUAAUUGUUACAGAAAAGUUGGAGGGAUAUUAUAGGCUUAGGGUAUGAUGUAAGGGUUGAACUCUUUUAUUAUUAUAUUUCUCCUAGCUUGUACUACUUUGCUUUGCUUAUGAGAUCCAUACAGCUAAAUUAUUUUCAAAAAUUGAUGAAGAAAUCCAAUCCAGAUGCGAUUCUCCUAUUCGGUUCUGCAUGUUAAUGCAAUAUUGAUGUCAUUUUUUGCAAGAAUUGUCAUGCAAUAUUGUGGAAUGUCAUACCUAAUAGAAGGACCUUAGAAACUGUAGUUGCCUAA
Long non-coding RNA from Glycine soja, 1169 nucleotides. RefSeq lists it as uncharacterized. NCBI's taxonomy places the organism in Eukaryota, Viridiplantae, Streptophyta, Magnoliopsida, Fabales, Fabaceae. The transcript is spliced from 2 exons. The record is from RefSeq and is a predicted model, not a curated record.